This 301-nucleotide ribosomal RNA is filed under the name uncultured bacterium. Its description in RNAcentral is "partial 16S ribosomal RNA". It matches the Rfam family "Bacterial small subunit ribosomal RNA", at positions 509 to 807 of the family's 1533-position model. The record is from RNAcentral.
CAGUCGCCACGGUAAUACGUAGGUGGCAAGCGUUGUCCGGAUUUAUUGGGCGUAAAGCGAGCGCAGGCGGUUCCUUAAGUCUGAUGUGAAAGCCCCCGGCUCAACCGGGGAGGGUCAUUGGAAACUGGGGAACUUGAGUGCAGAAGAGGAGAGUGGAAUUCCAUGUGUAGCGGUGAAAUGCGUAGAUAUAUGGAGGAACACCAGUGGCGAAGGCGACUCUCUGGUCUGUAACUGACGCUGAGGCUCGAAAGCGUGGGUAGCAAACAGGAUUAGAUACCCCCGUAGUCCCUGUCUCUUAUAC